GAUGAACGCUGACAGAAUGCUUAACACAUGCAAGUCGAUGGGGAAGUGGUGCUUGCACCAUGGUAACCAUGGCGGACGGGUGAGUAACGCGUAAGGAACUUACCUGCGGGCCGGGGAUAACAGCAGGAAACGGCUAACAGAACGGGAAAAGUCAAUUAGCCGCCAUACCUUGGGAUGAAAAGGAGACGCCUGCGGAGAGCCUUGCGUCCUAUUAGCUAGUUGGAGGGGUAACGGCCCACCAAGGCGAAGAUAGGUAGCCGGCCUGAGAGGGUGGACGGCCACAAGGGGACUGAGAUACGGCCCUUACUCCUACGGGAGGCAGCAGUGGGGAAUAUUGGACAAUGGGGGCAACCCUGAUCCAGCAAUUCUGUGUGCACGAAGACGGUUUUCGGAUUGUAAAGUGCUUUCAGCAGGGAAGAAGGAAGUGACGGUACCUGCAGAAGAAGCGACGGCUAAAUACGU
Molecule: ribosomal RNA, 462 nt
Filed under: uncultured bacterium
Lineage: Bacteria
Description: partial 16S ribosomal RNA
Rfam family: Bacterial small subunit ribosomal RNA
Source: RNAcentral